GACAGCAUCGCCGCGGUAAUACGUAGGUGGCAAGCGUUGUCCGGAAUUAUUGGGCGUAAAGCGAGCGCGGGCGGUUCCUUAAGUCUGAUGUGAAAGCCCCCGGCUCAACCGGGGAGGGUCACUGGAAACUGGGGAACUUGAGUGCAGAAGAGGAGAGUGGAAUUCCAUGUGUAGCGGUGAAAUGCGUAGAUAUAUGGAGGAACACCAGUGGCGAAGGCGACUCUCUGGUCUGUAACUGACGCUGAGGCUCGAAAGCGUGGGUAGCAAACGGGAUUAGAUACCCGGGUAGUCCCUGUCUCUUAUACC
This 306-nucleotide ribosomal RNA is filed under the name uncultured bacterium. RNAcentral's name for it is "partial 16S ribosomal RNA". It matches the Rfam family "Bacterial small subunit ribosomal RNA", at positions 507 to 808 of the family's 1533-position model. The record is from RNAcentral.